GCCAUAUAGUGGUGUGUCGAGCCGUGGGCAGUCCGUGGGAACUCCCUUUAUCGCCUCGACUCUGGUAGCGAUCGAGGAUGGAGGUCAGGAUAUCGACAUCGGGAAUGAUCGAUCGUCGCCGCCGUGGGAUUUUUAAACUUUUCCGGGCGACUUUUCCUGGGCGAUCGUUUUGUGUCUUUUCCGAAGCUUUUUCAGCAAAGUUCGACAAAACCGCUGAAUCGCCGAGAGAACGGCUGCCUUCUAUCGUGGGCCGCCAUUGCUCUUCGAGGCGCAGGGCGGCUGGCAUGAGAAGCGUCGCCUGUUUAGCGAGUUUUCUUGGACAAAAAUUGCUGAGUGGUCGGUAGGCGCGUCGGCUGGUCGGCUGACUUUCGAGCCCAGCGGCGGUAUGCCCUGUCUCGUCCGCAUGAUACACGAGCACACCCACGCAUCUUUUCACGCCGCCGGCCGGGCGCAGUCACGCAUGGCCGACAUGGAUUCUUCUUAAAUGUGGCUGGGCAUAGCGUCUGCCAAGCGCCCACCUAGUCACUCCGAGAUGCACCCACGGGCACGAUCUCACCGCCUAGCACUGAUAGCGCUCGGAAAGCAUGGAUCCGCCCAGUUUGCUGUCUCGGCGGUGAGCGAGUGUGAAGUGUCGCACAUAAGCAUCGACACUGCAGGCUAGAAUCGGAACGAGAUUGGUGGCAAGAUUGAAAAGGUUACUUCAUACUACCAAGGUCUUAACGCUAACCUUCCUGUUUGUCGAUGUUACCUGAGAACUAGCAAAUCGUAACGAAGUCUUGUUCUUUGCGCAAUCAUCUUUUGACGGGAGUCCCAUUGCCGCUGAUAGCCGGCUUGUGGCGAUGAACGAAGUAGUGAACCCUGUCUCGCCUAAACUCGGGAUGGCAGCUAGCCUGCUGCUGGCAGGAUCCGCCAGCUGUCCCGAAAGUGAGCGAGGUGAUGUGUGACGCCAUGGGCACACUGUGGGAACUAACUGAGACGGGUAGCAAGAUCACGAAAAGCACUCAUACUACCGUGGCUAACACUUCUAGCCUAGCUGGAUACAGAUCUCCUAGAACUAGCAAACCGGUAACGAAGAUGUUCUUGGCAACCAUCUUUGAGUGGGAGUCCAUGCAGCCGCCAGGGUGAUGAAAUGUGAACCUGUCUCGGCCUAGCCAGGACUUGGACUGCAGCCGCCUUAGGAGCAUGCGAUCCGCCAGGCUGUCCCGGCGGACUCGCGCCAGGCUUGGAGCUCGAGCCUGCCCGUCUUCUUUCUAGGCCGAGUACUGGCAGAUUAAGCCUGAACGAUUGAUGAUUUUGAGUUAACUGUCAACGCUUCGGCUAGAGGUGAUCGUGUUAGCCUAGUGCCAGAGCCUUGCGCAAGAUCGAACCACUACCACCUAUCCUCUCAGCCAUUUUACUGGGCCGAUGCUUGACGCCAUGAUGACAGCCGGUAGCCGUGCCCACUACUCUGAAUUAGCUGGUCCCGGCUCUGUCCAGCGACGCUGUCGCCGUGAAGUCGCGGGCACAGGCGGCGCUGCUCCUCCUUUCACGCCACGCAUUUGCUGCUUUGCCGCGACUGGUGAAUGAGCUGGCGUCGGAAACGCCUCGAUGCGAAGUCAGACGUUUACGGCUGACUCGAGUGGUCAGCCUCGCCAGCUCAUCCGUUCCUUCGCAAAGAUGAUUGUCACACUGCCUUCUUCUCUCUUCCACGCUGGCAGGAUGCGGCGGGGAAUUGCUCGUGAUCGAUGAAUGC
Molecule: unclassified non-coding RNA, 1732 nt
Filed under: Arabidopsis thaliana (thale cress)
Lineage: Eukaryota; Viridiplantae; Streptophyta; Magnoliopsida; Brassicales; Brassicaceae
Description: 5' external transcribed spacer
Source: RNAcentral